Molecule: ribosomal RNA, 611 nt
Filed under: uncultured Lachnospiraceae bacterium
Lineage: Bacteria; Bacillati; Bacillota; Clostridia; Lachnospirales; Lachnospiraceae
Description: bacterial SSU rRNA
Rfam family: Bacterial small subunit ribosomal RNA
Source: RNAcentral
UGCUUUUUAAGCUUAGUGGCGAACGGGUGAGUAACGCGUGAGUAACCUGCCCUAGAGUGGGGGACAACAGUUGGAAACGACUGCUAAUACCGCAUAAGCCCACGGUACCGCAUGGUACUGAGGGAAAAGGAUUUAUUCGCUUUAGGAUGGACUCGCGUCCAAUUAGCUAGUUGGUGAGGUAACGGCCCACCAAGGCGACGAUUGGUAGCCGGACUGAGAGGUUGAACGGCCACAUUGGGACUGAGACACGGCCCAGACUCCUACGGGAGGCAGCAGUGGGGGAUAUUGCACAAUGGGGGAAACCCUGAUGCAGCGACGCCGCGUGGAGGAAGAAGGUUUUCGGAUUGUAAACUCCUGUCGUUAGGGACGAUAAUGACGGUACCUAACAAGAAAGCACCGGCUAACUACGUGCCAGCAGCCGCGGUAAAACGUAGGGUGCAAGCGUUGUCCGGAAUUACUGGGUGUAAAGGGAGCGCAGGCGGGAAGACAAGUUGGAAGUGAAAACCAUGGGCUCAACCCAUGAAUUGCUUUCAAAACUGUUUUUCUUGAGUAGUGCAGAGGUAGAUGGAAUUCCCGGUGUAGCGGUGGAAUGCGUAGAUAUCGGGAGGAAC